Molecule: ribosomal RNA, 801 nt
Filed under: Staphylococcus aureus
Lineage: Bacteria; Bacillati; Bacillota; Bacilli; Caryophanales; Staphylococcaceae
Description: partial 23S ribosomal RNA
Rfam family: Bacterial large subunit ribosomal RNA
Source: RNAcentral
GAAUCUGGGAGGACCAUCUCCUAAGGCUAAAUACUCUCUAGUGACCGAUAGUGAACCAGUACCGUGAGGGAAAGGUGAAAAGCACCCCGGAAGGGGAGUGAAAUAGAACCUGAAACCGUGUGCUUACAAGUAGUCAGAGCCCGUUAAUGGGUGAUGGCGUGCCUUUUGUAGAAUGAACCGGCGAGUUACGAUUUGAUGCAAGGUUAAGCAGUAAAUGUGGAGCCGUAGCGAAAGCGAGUCUGAAUAGGGCGUUUAGUAUUUGGUCGUAGACCCGAAACCAGGUGAUCUACCCUUGGUCAGGUUGAAGUUCAGGUAACACUGAAUGGAGGACCGAACCGACUUACGUUGAAAAGUGAGCGGAUGAACUGAGGGUAGCGGAGAAAUUCCAAUCGAACCUGGAGAUAGCUGGUUCUCUCCGAAAUAGCUUUAGGGCUAGCCUCAAGUGAUGAUUAUUGGAGGUAGAGCACUGUUUGGACGAGGGGCCCCUCUCGGGUUACCGAAUUCAGACAAACUCCGAAUGCCAAUUAAUUUAACUUGGGAGUCAGAACAUGGGUGAUAAGGUCCGUGUUCGAAAGGGAAACAGCCCAGACCACCAGCUAAGGUCCCAAAAUAUAUGUUAAGUGGAAAAGGAUGUGGCGUUGCCCAGACAACUAGGAUGUUGGCUUAGAAGCAGCCAUCAUUUAAAGAGUGCGUAAUAGCUCACUAGUCGAGUGACACUGCGCCGAAAAUGUACCGGGGCUAAACAUAUUACCGAAGCUGUGGAUUGUCCUUUGGACAAUGGUAGGAGAGCGUUCUAAGGGC